UGGGGAAUUUUGCGCAAUGGGGGAAACCCUGACGCAGCAACGCCGCGUGAGUGAUGAAGGCCUUCGGGUCGUAAAGCUCUGUCAGAGGGGAAGAAAUGCAGGGGUGCUAAUAUCAUCUUUGCUUGACGGUACCCUCAAAGGAAGCACCGGCUAACUCCGUGCCAGCAGCCGCGGUAAUACGGAGGGUGCGAGCGUUGUUCGGAAUUAUUGGGCGUAAAGCGCGUGUAGGCGGUUUGAUAAGUCUGAUGUGAAAGCCCCGGGCUCAAGCUGGGAAGUGCAUUGGAAGCUGUCAGAGUUGAAGACGGGAGAGGGUAGGGGAAUGCCUAGUGUAGGAGUGAAAGCAGUAGAUAUUAGGAGGAACAGCGGUGGCGAAGGCGGCGACCUGGACCGAUAUUGACGCUGAGACGCGAAAGCGUGGGGAGCAAACA
Molecule: ribosomal RNA, 428 nt
Filed under: uncultured bacterium
Lineage: Bacteria
Description: bacterial SSU rRNA
Rfam family: Bacterial small subunit ribosomal RNA
Source: RNAcentral